GACCACCUCACAAAUUCAGAUAUGAGUCCAUAUGCAGUGAGAUCAUCACUUGACCUCCCCCUCCCAACAUAUGUGUAGUCUAGCUGAAGACCUUCUAUUUCUUGUUGUUGAAUAGGUCAGUGAAUGACAUCUGAUUUUCCUUGGCCAAACAUUCUUUCCUUGUAGAGAUUUGUAUUCCACCCCCAACUUAAUCCAAUUGAUUCUAAAAAGCACUAAACUAUAUUACCGUCCAAAUAGCAAGUGGUAAGUGUUUUUCCAACAAAAUUGUUAGCCUGCAAUUUUUAAAUAGAAAAAGCAGAUAAAAUAGGCAUUAAAUAAAUUCAGUAUACCUGAAUAGUAUUGCCACGUGGAUGUUUCCGAGCUCUUCACGUACACUUCUAAUUUGAAGAAGAAAUAAAGAUAAACUCAACAAGUGAAAUUAUUGAUCUCGAAAAAUGCUUCAAAAGAGAACAUAUUUGGAGUCAAGGAACUACAUAUGUGAAUUUGUAUAAAGAUUUACAAGAGUUAUAGGCCAUUUGAAUGAACAGAUGAAUAUAAAUGGUGCAUCCCUGAAUCCCUCAAAGAGCUACUGUUAUAUUGGAACAGAUGAGGCCUACAUAAAGCUGCAAAGCCCCUUUGGUACUCCAUACCAUAAUCAAAGUAGUGACCAAAACAUCCAUCAGACAACUUUUUUCACUAAACAAAAGACAUUAUAGAAUCUUGGGUAAAAAAUCACAAAGACGUCGUAAAAUUCUUGAUACGAAACCACUAAAGCAAAAGAAUAUAAAUUACAUUUGGAUCCAAAGACUGAAUUUGAUCCAAUGCAUCAUAAUGGAGUAUCAUUUUGUUUUUGAUUUUUUUUUUCAAGAAUGACUUCUUCUUCUUCACAUUCCCUUUUUUCCUGUGAAUGUGUUUGGGAUAAAGACAAAGAAACUUCCUUUUCAGAGGAUGAAAUAUCAUACGUUAAAGUUAAACAACACUGUACUAAAAGCUUACAUUAUUCAAGUUGAUUGCCUGUAUUGCUUGCAAAGAGCAUUUUUGGGUUCUGUGAGAGCAAAAAUAAGGAUCCACAAUUAAAAGGAAAAAUAGGAAGUAAGAAGCAAUAUGAAAUGUGAAAAGCAAAAGAGAACAUCAACUUCAAAUUUUCUCUUUCAUCUUCAUGCGGUCUAGAUAUUUUUUUUCUUUAUCCCGGUAGUCCAAAAAUCAUAAACAAAUAAUUUCUCAAGGCAUGCAAGUUGAACCUCAAAAAGACUCUUCAAGACACGUUUAAAUGAUGUUUUCCAAACACACACCCUCACACUUUUCAUUUCAUAAGUUUGUUGACUUCUCUAUCCAUGUAUAAACCUACUAUAGUAAGAUUUUACCAUUUAACUAGGUCAAGAUACUUAAAUCAGAUAUCUGAAUACUAAGCUACAAGUUCAAGAGUACUUCCGAUCUAGACUAUGAAUGCAAAGAAUCUGCAAAAAUGGAGGUUCAUUUGAAAAGGUUUGAUAAUGUAAUUGUUGGCAGGUGGCAGCAGCACCUCAAGCUCCAAAUCUAAAGGGGUAAAGAUGAUUUUACUGAUGUCAACAUGGAAAAAAAGAUCAAAGAAAAAUAGAAAAGGCAAAUAUUAGAAGAGGAUACCUUUAACAAAACAUAUUGAGUUUACUAGUCUUCCCUUCUUAAUGCCAGCUAACAGUCCAUGAUAGCACCUAAAAGCAAAACGAACAAACUCCCAAAGUUCCCCAUCCAAUCAAUCGUUCAAAACCACAUUUAAAAGUCGGGGGUGGUUCACUCUGGUUGGGCCAAUUUCAUUAGGACAUCAUCUCAACAAAUACUAUGAGGAUUCAUCAUAAUAUGACUAUUUUAAGGUUGGUCAUCAACCUCCUAAGCACAGUUGGAAUUCCCAAAAAGCUGAUUAAAUAAUGAAAACGUGAAACUAGAAACUACAUUGCAAAAAGGCAAAAAGAGUAGACAAAUCUGAACAAGAUGAUCCUUAUCCAGUGAAGAUAAACUCACUAAAACUGGAAACCGCCUCACAAAUCCAGAUAUGAGUCCAUAUGCAGUGAGAUCAUCACUUGACCUCCC
This 2046-nucleotide long non-coding RNA is filed under the name Solanum tuberosum (potato). RNAcentral describes it as "long non-coding RNA (STUB_LNC003135)". The record is from RNAcentral. Lineage: Eukaryota; Viridiplantae; Streptophyta; Magnoliopsida; Solanales; Solanaceae.